This is a long non-coding RNA of Carassius gibelio (silver crucian carp), 2419 nucleotides long. RefSeq lists it as uncharacterized. The record is from RefSeq and is a predicted model, not a curated record. The transcript has 13 exons. Lineage: Eukaryota; Metazoa; Chordata; Actinopteri; Cypriniformes; Cyprinidae.
UAAUUAUUCUAUUAGUCAUGUAAGAUAAAUGCAUGCCGAUCCAAACAAAUCCAUUUAAGAAUUAUGCAUUAACUGCGCAAAAUAAUGUAAAAUAAGACAUUUAUUUAGUCUUAUGUCUGUUUAAUUGUUCAUAUGAUCCCGAUGCGAGUUACUAGCUGAGAAUGAUUAGCCUGCCUUAAUAUUAUCUAAUUAAUAUAAAUAAUUGAUGUGCAAUUAAUGUUUGUCUACUGUUUUUAAUGCCACUCAGCGUGAUGUAGGCUAAUAUAACAUACAAGUAGAACGUUUCAUGUCUGUGCUUUCUAUUUGAUUGGUCACUGUUCAUUUCCAGUGGUGCUGAAAUUCUGCUUCAGUCAUAAAAACUUUAAACUGGUACCGGUUUCAGGUUCUUUUAGAGUGACUCCCAGAUUAGUGGAGACACAGCCUGAGUUGAAUAUUAAUAAUUUUAUAUCAAGUCUACUUCGAAAACUGGGCUGGUCAGAUUCAAGGAAUCGACUCUUUUGGAGUCGACUCCUCAUCAGUACUGCGCAUGUGCUUACAAAUCAUCACAUCGACGCGCACGUGGAAGUGAUCGCCGCGGGAAAACUGAGUUUGUCUAGUUCCUCCAUGGUUGUGAGAGGAAAGACCUCAUCCUCGCUGUCCACCACUGGAGCACUGGAACGGUUGUUUGCUGCAAGGGACUGGACCACUGAAGUCAGAUGAUUGAUCUUCAUGUCCAGUUCAUUAAGUGCCUCCAGAAUUGUCCUCUCAACAGCUGCAACACAUUAGAUGGGUGUUCAUCCAAAGCAUCUUCUUGCUCAUUUUCAUUGGACAAGCUCACUGGAACAGCUGGAGUUAAGAAAGGUGAAGUUGUGAUAGAUGGGUGUUCUUCCCAAGUUUCCAGCUGGCGGUCUGAAUGAGAGAAGCUCAUUAACAUUACACAAGGUGAGUGUCCACCCCAAUGAUCUUGUGGCUCAUCUGCCUGGGAGAAGCUCACGGGAACAUCUGGAGCUGACAAUGAUGGAACUGUACUCAUGUAGAGCCUGUUACCUUGACAGCUGGGGAAAGUCUCAAAACGGGCCUGCUCUGGCUUCUCCAUGGCCCUUUGGUGGUGAUUAACAAGUGCUGUUGAAAGAAUUGAGGUGCUGGAGGUUUUGGUGCAGGCGGGACUUUUGGUGCGGGCUGGAUUUUUGGUAAUUUUCAGAUUCUGAGAUGUCAGAAGUGUAGCAUGCCCUUUUCCAUUUUUUGGAAAUGUUGUCAAAUGAUGCUGAAAUGAUCAAAAAUUCUGGCCUGAUGCUUGGUCCAACCCUUAUCUGGCUGUGGUGCCUCCAUCAACCUGACACUCUUUAGUAACCGGUCCAAGUCUUUGUAUGGAGGCCACCAUGAGUGGCCAUCUGAGUACCAGGACUUUGCUACAGGACCGGUACUCCCUUCUCCGGCAAACUCCACUAUCAGGUGGCGAUGUACGCGCGCGAGUCGCCAAUGAGCCAAGGGAUGAAGAAGUCCUCAGGGCAAGAUGUGGUGGAGUGAUGGUUGAGAGUGCAAUCUAUUCUGCUUACCCGACUCAUGCAGACUUCUGUCCUGAUGUUUGGCUGUAGUCCUUCCAUCAUCCAGUCUUUUGCAACCGGUCUAUUUAUGGAGACCACCAUGAUCUAAUCUAUACAGAUCUAGUUGUCUCUUCUCCCACAAACUCCUCUUUCAGAUUUUGAGCGGAUCUCCUUCAUUCUGCAGCCAGCUCACCAGAACCUCUGGGUGCACCAGCUGUGGAUAUUACAGGCCAAACUUUGGACACCCUAGGACAACAUCCUUAGCACAGAUCUACCUAUAGCCCUCCAUCAUUCCCACAUCCAUCUUGCAACAGUUUCAUUAACUGCAGUCCAUAACCAGUUCACAGUCUACACCUUGUCCAUUGCAAAUGUUAUGGAUUAUUCUAAUAAAGAUCUUUCUAUUAUUUUUUUUGAGACCGUUAUUAUGUACUCUGUUAUGUUGUGAAUAAAGUCAGCCCCCCCCCCCCACCUCGAUGCUUUCAGCAGUUAAUAGAUUAAAGUGUGUCCUUAAUGUUUUAUUAUUUAAAGAUUGUUUUAAAGUUUAUUACAGGCUCAGUUUAUUUUUUUUCACUAGAAAAUAAAGUGGAGUAUUAACUGUCAUAAUCAAGUAUGAGACUUUUGUCAGUAUCAUUAAUUCUAUGAGGCAAUAUGAAUCAAAUUAACAUUUGUAUAGGGUUUUCAUCCGAAGGCUUCUUCCUUAUUUAGUUAAACAUCAAGGGUUUUCUAUGCCUUUGUCACCUUUUACUUUCUCAUUGGAAAUUAUGAGCAUCAUUAUUUGGAAGAAAAUAAGAAUAUGAAAAUGGCUUUGAUUUCAAUGUAUUGAAUGGAAUCAAAGAACCACACAAACCUUUGACCUUCACAAAGACAUUGUAUAAAUUAAAGUGUUACUCAAAUUA